Molecule: ribosomal RNA, 265 nt
Filed under: uncultured bacterium
Lineage: Bacteria
Description: partial 16S ribosomal RNA
Rfam family: Bacterial small subunit ribosomal RNA
Source: RNAcentral
AACAGAGGGCAGCGAAGCCGCGAGGUGGAGCAAAUCCCAGAAAACUGAUCUCAGUUCGGAUUGCAGGCUGCAACCCGCCUGCAUGAAGUCGGAAUCGCUAGUAAUCGCGGGUCAGCAUACCGCGGUGAAUACGUUCCCGGGCCUUGUACACACCGCCCGUCACACCACGAAAGUUGGUAACACCCGAAGCCGGUGGCCUAACCCUUAGGGGAGGGAGCUGUCGAAGGUGGGACUGAUGAUUGGGGUGAAGUCGUAACAAGGUAUC